RNAcentral lists this unclassified non-coding RNA (365 nucleotides) under Drosophila pseudoobscura pseudoobscura. RNAcentral's name for it is "GA23474". Lineage: Eukaryota; Metazoa; Arthropoda; Insecta; Diptera; Drosophilidae. The record is from RNAcentral.
GACACCCUACCCAAGGCCUGGGCCUGGGCCUGGCACUGGCCUGCCCUGGUGGUGAAAAAAGUGCAUUUCAGUUGUAGAGAUUAUUUCAAUAGAAGACAUCCGCGUGUCGCGUGCCGCACGGACAAACGUUUCAAACAAUCUGAGAAUUCCCAUUAAAGUUUAAUUUUUAAUGUAGUGCAGCCUCUAAUAUAAGUGAAAUCAUACCCAAAAGCCUUGUUAUUCAUUGAAAAAUUCUGCCAAUCUAUCAAUCUGGGUGUAAGGUAUUCUCCAAGACGCACACCGGAGGACAUCAAAUCGCAAGUGGACUCGUUCCGUCAGAAGUUAGUGGGCCAAGGGAAGACAGAUGCACCAAAGGAUGAAUUUGG